GUGGGGAAUCUUGCGCAAUGGGCGAAAGCCUGACGCAGCCAUGCCGCGUGAAUGAUGAAGGUCUUAGGAUUGUAAAAUUCUUUCACCGGGGACGAUAAUGAUGGUACCCGGAGAAGAAGCCCCGGCUAACUUCGUGCCAGCAGCCGCGGUAAUACGAAGGGGGCUAGCGUUGCUCGGAAUUACUGGGCGUAAAGGGCGCGUAGGCGGACAGUUUAGUCAGAUGUGAAAGCCCAGGGCUCAACCUUGGAAUUGCCUUUGAUACUGGCUGUCUUGAGUACGGGAGAGGUGAGUGGAACUCCGAGUGUAGAGGUGAAAUUCGUAGAUAUUCGGAAGAACACCAGUGGCGAAGGCGACUCACUGGCCCGUUACUGACGCUGAGGCGCGAAAGCGUGGGGAGCAAACAGGAUUAGAAACCCUAGUAGUCC
This 425-nucleotide ribosomal RNA is filed under the name uncultured bacterium. Its description in RNAcentral is "partial 16S ribosomal RNA". It matches the Rfam family "Bacterial small subunit ribosomal RNA", at positions 354 to 796 of the family's 1533-position model. The record is from RNAcentral.